GUGGGGAAUAUUGCACAAUGGGCGCAAGCCUGAUGCAGCCAUGCCGCGUGUGUGAAGAAGGCCUUCGGGUUGUAAAGCACUUUCAGCGAGGNGGAAGGGUUCAGUGUUAAUAGCACUGUUCAUUGACGUUACUCGCAGAAGAAGCACCGGCUAACUCCGUGCCAGCAGCCGCGGUAAUACGGAGGGUGCAAGCGUUAAUCGGAAUUACUGGGCGUAAAGCGCACGCAGGCGGUUUGUUAAGUCAGAUGUGAAAUCCCCGCGCUUAACGUGGGAACUGCAUUUGAAACUGGCAAGCUAGAGUCUUGUAGAG
RNAcentral lists this ribosomal RNA (310 nucleotides) under uncultured bacterium. RNAcentral describes it as "partial 16S ribosomal RNA". It matches the Rfam family "Bacterial small subunit ribosomal RNA", at positions 354 to 656 of the family's 1533-position model. The record is from RNAcentral.